This 663-nucleotide ribosomal RNA is filed under the name Radopholus similis. RNAcentral's name for it is "eukaryotic LSU rRNA". The stretch from base 285 to 438 matches the Rfam family "5.8S ribosomal RNA". Lineage: Eukaryota; Metazoa; Nematoda; Chromadorea; Rhabditida; Pratylenchidae. The record is from RNAcentral.
GGUUUGCGAAUUACUUACAGUGACCUAUCCAUACGAUUCCGUCCUUUGGUGGGCAGUGCCCUCCAGCAUUGGCCAAACCCCUCCAAUGGGACCCCAACGGGUGGGUUGGCGUCCGGGAAUCCUGGAACAAUUGGAAUCCCUGGCCCUGGCUGCCAUGAAGCCACUCCGUAAGGCUGGCCUCCCCUUUGGCAGCUUAAAACUUGAUGAACGCAAACCAAGCGCCCCCCGCAACCAUUUUUUUCCCAUAAACUUUUUCAAAUGCCCUGAAAGGGAAACAAAAAUUCUAGCCUUAUCGGUGGAUCACUCCGCUCCUAAGUCGAUGAAAAACGCCACCCGCUGCCAUAUCUAAUGGGAACUGCAGAACCUUUGAACACUAAACAUUCCAAUGGCCAUUGCGCCCUUGGAGUCCCUUCCUCUGGCACCCCCGGGUCAGGGUCGUUAACCCAAAACCCCAGAAAAAUGGCUACAUGGAUGCGUGAUGAUUAAUAUUUUCCUGCCAUGGAAAUUCAAAGUUUGCUAAUUUUGUACUUGGACAUGAAUUUCGUGAGAAUUUGCCGUGUGGCGAAUGAAAUUCACGUAUGUUCAUUGUGCAGAUUGGCAACUUUUCCAAAUCAUUCGACCUGAACUCAGACGUGAAUACCCGCUGAACUUAAGCAUAUCUAU